Molecule: ribosomal RNA, 372 nt
Filed under: uncultured organism
Description: partial 16S ribosomal RNA
Rfam family: Bacterial small subunit ribosomal RNA
Source: RNAcentral
GUAGGUGGCAAGCGUUGUCCGGAAUUAUUGGGCGUAAAGCGCGCGCAGGCGGUUCUUUAAGUCUGAUGUGAAAGCCCACGGCUCAACCGUGGAGGGUCAUUGGAAACUGGAGAACUUGAGUACAGAAGAGGAAAGCGGAAUUCCACGUGUAGCGGUGAAAUGCGUAGAGAUGUGGAGGAACACCAGUGGCGAAGGCGGCUUUCUGGUCUGUAACUGACGCUGAGGCGCGAAAGCGUGGGGGAGCAAACAGGAUUAGAUACCCUGGUAGUCCACGCCGUAAACGAUGAGUGCUAAGUGUUAGGGGGUUUCCGCCCCUUAGUGCUGCAGCUAACGCAUUAAGCACUCCCGCCUGGGAGUACGACCGCAAGGUUG